RNAcentral lists this long non-coding RNA (209 nucleotides) under Cicer arietinum (chickpea). RNAcentral's name for it is "long non-coding RNA (CARI_LNC002320)". The record is from RNAcentral. Lineage: Eukaryota; Viridiplantae; Streptophyta; Magnoliopsida; Fabales; Fabaceae.
ACGAUUUAUCUGUUGCAUAUUUUUUGUCUUUGAAAAUUUCCAAAAGAUGGUCUGGAACAUACUUUCUUGCACUUGUUUCUUUUACGGUCUGGAACAUGUUCAUGACCUACACACCCAAAAACUCGAAAAUAAUUAAUUGUUGGCUUUAGAUCACUCUGUGCUUCUUCCGAAGUUUUGUUUUGCAUAGCCACUGUAGGACAUGUGUUGAG